UUUAUUUUGGCUUUAAAAUUUAUUAUUAGUUUGUUUUAUAUGUAAAUUUUUGUGUGGGUGUUUAUUUGUUUAAAUAAUGAAUAAUUUUUAUUUAGUCGCAGUAAUUAAUAUUAUAAAUUAAGGAAACUUAGAAAUAGAAAUAUUAAUUAGUAUUGACCUAAUUCGUGCCAGCAGUCGCGGUUAUACGAAUAAUGCAAUUAAAUUUUUUCAGUAGAAGUUAAAUUGAUUUAUUAAAAUAAAAAUAAAUUUAUUAGGUGAAAUUUUAAAUUUAUUAAUUUUUUAAUUAAAAUAAUAUUGAAGCUUAAAAAUUUUUAAAUUAAACUAGGAUUAGAUACCCUAUUAUUAGAAAUGUAUUUAAUUAACUUGAGUAGUAUUAGUUAUGUUCUUGAAACUUAAAAAAUUUGGCGGUAUUUUAGUCUAUUCAGAGGAAUCUGUUCUAUAAUCGAUAAUCCACGAUGGACCUUACUUAAAUUUGUUUUCAGUUUAUAUACCGUCGUUAUCAGAAUAUUUUAUAAGAAUAAAAAUUUUCUAUAAAUUUAAUUAAAUUUUAUAUCAGAUCAAGGUGUAGCUUAUAUUUAAGUAGAAAUGGAUUACAAUAAAUUUAUUUAUAUGGAUUUAGAUAUGAAAAAAUCUAUUGAAAUUGGAUUUGAUAGUAAAAUUAUAAAGAUUAAUAAUUUGAUUUUAGCUCUAAAAUAUGCACACAUCGCCCGUCGCUCUUAUUAUUAAGAUAAGAUAAGUCGUAACAUAGUAGAUGUACCGGAAGGUGUAUCUAGAAUGAC
RNAcentral lists this non-coding RNA (779 nucleotides) under Pherbellia dubia. The record is from RNAcentral. Lineage: Eukaryota; Metazoa; Arthropoda; Insecta; Diptera; Sciomyzidae.